CUGUGUUUAGGUUUACCACAAGCCCUCUGACUACCCCAUUCCAGAUUUGUGCAGGUCAACAAUCCUGUCUCUGAGGUCCUGAGAGAGUUCUUUGGUCUUACCCAUGUUGGAGAGUUUGGAAUCUGUCUGAUUCUGUGAACAGGUGUCUUUCAUACAGGUGAUUAGUUAUAACAGGUGUCUUCAAUUCAGGUAACAAGUUGAUUGGGAGUGUCUAACUGGUCUGUGAAAGCCAGAACUCCUAAUGCAUACUAGGGGAUCAAAUACUUAUUUCCCUCAAUGAAAUACAAACCAAUUAAUAUAUAUUCUUUAAAGG
Melanotaenia boesemani (Boeseman's rainbowfish) is the source of this 313-nucleotide long non-coding RNA. RefSeq lists it as uncharacterized. The record is from RefSeq and is a predicted model, not a curated record. Lineage: Eukaryota; Metazoa; Chordata; Actinopteri; Atheriniformes; Melanotaeniidae. The transcript is spliced from 5 exons.